This 67-nucleotide transfer RNA is filed under the name Strophidon sathete (slender giant moray). RNAcentral describes it as "tRNA-Cys". Lineage: Eukaryota; Metazoa; Chordata; Actinopteri; Anguilliformes; Muraenidae. The record is from RNAcentral.
AGUUUUGUGGUGUAGUCGCACCCCAGAUUGCAAACCUGGUGGCGCAGGGUAACCUCUGCCGAAACUU